UACGUAGGGCGCAAGCGUUGUCCGGAAUUAUUGGGCGUAAAGAGCUCGUAGGCGGCCUGUUGCGUCCGCUGUGAAAGCCCGGGGCUUAACCCCGGGUCUGCAGUGGAUACGGGCAGGCUAGAGGUAGGUAGGGGAGAAUGGAAUUCCCGGUGUAGCGGUGAAAUGCGCAGAUAUCGGGAGGAACACCGGUGGCGAAGGCGGGUCUCUGGGCCGAUACUGACGCUGAGGAGCGAAAGCGUGGGGAGCGAACAGG
Molecule: ribosomal RNA, 253 nt
Filed under: uncultured bacterium
Lineage: Bacteria
Description: partial 16S ribosomal RNA
Rfam family: Bacterial small subunit ribosomal RNA
Source: RNAcentral